GUCCACGCCCUAAACGAUGUCGACUAGUUGUUGGGGAAGGAAACUUCCUUAGUAACGAAGCUAACGCGUGAAGUCGACCGCCUGGGGAGUACGGCCGCAAGGUUAAAACUCAAAGGAAUUGACGGGGACCCGCACAAGCGGUGGAUUAUGUGGAUUAAUUCGAUGCAACGCGAAAAACCUUACCUACCCUUGACAUGUCCGGAAGCCUAAUGAGAGUUGGGUGUGCCCGAAAGGGAGCCGGAACACAGGUGCUGCAUGGCUGUCGU
Molecule: ribosomal RNA, 266 nt
Filed under: uncultured bacterium
Lineage: Bacteria
Description: partial 16S ribosomal RNA
Rfam family: Bacterial small subunit ribosomal RNA
Source: RNAcentral